This 467-nucleotide long non-coding RNA is filed under the name Malus domestica (apple). Its description in RNAcentral is "long non-coding RNA (MDOM_LNC005762)". The record is from RNAcentral. Lineage: Eukaryota; Viridiplantae; Streptophyta; Magnoliopsida; Rosales; Rosaceae.
GGGCAGUUUUGGGACUCUAACACAAACUUGGACGAAAUUUGGUUUUCUAAUGACCUAAAACACUUAAAAACAUAUUCUAAGACAAGUUCUAAUUAAUAUGACUCAAAGAAAUAAGGUGGGGUUGAUUUUGGACGAAAAUAAGUAAAACAAAGCAAGAACAAUGUAAACAGAUUCUUAGACAAAAUUAAGUGAAUUGAUGAGAUAUGGGGUAACUAGAGGGUUCUUCUCUACACAUGACACACUUGCAUUCGAAGUUGAUUUCCAAUGGCUUCUUUCAAUAAACCAUGAACCUCAAUGCCCUAGGUUAACUGUGAUAACACUUUUUUAACCUUCAAGUCUUCCUUAAAUUAUUGAUGAUGGAAUGCACAUGCAACAACUCAAAACAUUCUCUAAACGUCCCUUACGUGAAAAGCACAAUAAAGGUACAAUCAAAGAUCAUUAAGCUUCAUGAAAACUAUAAGCAUUGA